RNAcentral lists this ribosomal RNA (464 nucleotides) under uncultured bacterium. RNAcentral's name for it is "partial 16S ribosomal RNA". It matches the Rfam family "Bacterial small subunit ribosomal RNA", at positions 339 to 795 of the family's 1533-position model. The record is from RNAcentral.
CUACGGCGGCUGCAGUGGGGAAUAUUGGACAAUGGGGGAAACCCUGAUACAGCAAUGCCGCGUGUGUGAAGAAGGCCUGCGGGUUGUAAAGCACUUUCGGUUGGGAGGACUGCUUCUAGCACUAAUAUUGUUGGAAGUUGACGUUACCUUCAGAAGAAGCACCGGCUAACUCCGUGCCAGCAGCCGCGGUAAUACGGAGGGUGCAAGCGUUAAUCGGAAUUACUGGGCGUAAAGCGCGCGUAGGCGGCUAGAUCAGUCGGGUGUGAAAGCCCCGGGUUUAACCUGGGAACUGCAUCCGAUACUGUCUAGCUUGAGUACAGGAGAGGAGAGUGGAAUUCCACAUGUAGCGGUGAAAUGCGUAGAUAUGUGGAGGAACACCAAUGGCGAAGGCAGCUCUCUGGCCUGAUACUGACGCUGAGGAGCGAAAGCGUGGGGAGCAAACAGGAUUAGAUACCCCAGUAGUC